AUGGGACACUGUACUGCUUCGUUCUUACUUCUUUCACUUCUAUUACUGUCAGGAACUUCAUACCUUCACACAGUCACAUUUGGUUUCUGCAAUGCUGAUCCUAACGUGGGUUGCAUGGACAUCGAGAGGAAAGCCCUUCUGAAGCUCAGAGAGGGCCUCAGUGAUCCUUCAGACCGGCUUUCAUCUUGGAGUGGAGUUGAUUGCUGCAAUUGGAGAGGUAUAGGCUGCAACAAGACAACUGGGCGCGUUGCAAGCCUUAAUCUUCGCAACCCCUAUGCAGAGGGUUUGGACAGUGAUGGUGAUGAUGGAACACUGCAUGCUUUGGGAGGUGAGAUCAGUCCCUCUUUGCUUGUUUUGAAAGAUUUGGUUUACUUGGAUUUGAGCAUGAAUAAUUUCGGGGGUCUAGAACUUCCAAGUUUCAUAGGAUCACUAGAGAAAAUGACGCACCUCAAUUUAUCUGGUGCAUCUUUUGGUGGAAUAAUUCCCGCCAAUCUUGGAAACCUUUCAAACUUGCUUCAUCUUGAUCUCAGUAAUAAUGUUAUUGAGAUCUACCUCCGGGAUAACCAGUUUUCAGGGCCAAUUCCUUCAAACAUUGGUGACGUGAUGCCCUCCUUGUCCGAUUUAGACAUCUCGAGGAAUGGUCUGACUGGAAGCAUUCCUUUGUCUUUAGGAAAUCUAAGCCUGUUGACAACCAUGGUUCUUUCUAAUAAUUACUUGACUGGUGAAAUUCCUCAUUUCUGGAAAAGUAUACCAGAGUUGUAUAUUGUAGAUAUGUCAAACAACAGCCUCUCUGGUACAAUUCCAAGAUCCAUGGAUUCUCUCGUUUUACUAAGAUACUUGAUACUCUCUAACAACAACUUGUCAGGCAAACUUCCUUCAUUGAGAAACUGCACUGGCAUGAAGAGUCUUGAUCUUGGGGAGAACAAGUUCUUUGGAAACAUUCCGGCGUGGAUAGGAGAAAGCAUGCUUUCUUUGUUGAUUUUACGUUUGAGUUCCAACUCAUUCACCGGAAGCAUUCCUUCACAGUUGUGUGGCCUUUCCAAUCUUCACAUAUUGGACCUCUCACACAAUAAGCUUUCUGGUCAUAUUCCCCAAUGUGUUGGUAAUUUGAGUGGCUUGAAAAACAUCUGAAAUCUCAGAUAAAGAUACAUCAGAUCGUUACCAGGGAAAACUGAAGGUAGUGGCAAAAGGAAGAGUGCUUGAAUAUGGCACCAUCCUUUACCUUGUUAACAGCCUAGACCUCUCAAACAAUAACUUAUCAGGAGAGAUGCCAUUAGAGCUAACAAGCCUUGUCAUGCUGGGAACCUUGAAUUUGUCCAUGAAUCAUCUCACAGGGAUAAUCCCUGAAAAGAUUGGUAACUUGAAAUCGAUAGAAACUCUUGAUCUUUCAAUGAACCAGCUUUCAGGUUCCAUACCACAGAGCAUGGUCUCUUUGACAUUCGUAACUCAUCUGAACCUGUCGCACAACAAUUUGUCCGGGAAAAAUCCCAACAAGCAACCACACAGCAAGUAGGUUUCAUUGUGGGGGUUCUGGGUGGUUUUUGGGAGUUUGGUCAUCAAAAAGACUUGGAGAUAUGCCUAUUUUCGCUUCCUAG
Fragaria vesca subsp. vesca is the source of this 1595-nucleotide RNA transcript. It is a transcript of the gene named LRR receptor-like serine/threonine-protein kinase RCH1-like, with no coding region annotated. The record is from RefSeq and is a predicted model, not a curated record. Lineage: Eukaryota; Viridiplantae; Streptophyta; Magnoliopsida; Rosales; Rosaceae. The transcript is spliced from 3 exons.